RNAcentral lists this ribosomal RNA (468 nucleotides) under uncultured bacterium. RNAcentral describes it as "partial 16S ribosomal RNA". It matches the Rfam family "Bacterial small subunit ribosomal RNA", at positions 28 to 507 of the family's 1533-position model. The record is from RNAcentral.
GACGAACGCUGGCGGCGUGCUUAACACAUGCAAGUCGAACGGAAAGGCCCUGCUUUUGUGGGGUGCUCGAGUGGCGAACGGGUGAGUAACACGUGAGUAACCUGCCCUUGACUUUGGGAUAACUUCAGGAAACUGGGGCUAAUACCGGAUAGGAGCUCCUGCUGCAUGGUGGGGGUUGGAAAGUUUCGGCGGUUGGGGAUGGACUCGCGGCUUAUCAGCUUGUUGGUGGGGUAGUGGCUUACCAAGGCUUUGACGGGUAGCCGGCCUGGGAGGGUGACCGGCCACAUGGGGACUAAGAGACGGAGCAGACGCCAACGGGGGGCAGCAGGGGGGAAUAUUGCGCAAUGGGCGGAAGCCUGAGGCAGCAACGCCGCGUGCGGGAUGACGGCCUUCGGGUUGGAAACCGCUUUCGCCUGAGACGAAGCGUGAGUGACGGUAAUGGGUAAAGAAGCACCGGCUAACUACGUG